GAUGAACGCUGGCGGCGUGCUUAACACAUGCAAGUCGAACGGAAAGGCCCAAGCUUGCUUGGGUACUCGAGUGGCGAACGGGUGAGUAACACGUGGGUGAUCUGCCCUGCACUUCGGGAUAAGCCUGGGAAACUGGGUCUAAUACCGGAUAGGACCACUUCUUGGAUGUUGUGGUGAAAAGUUUUUUCGGUGUGGGAUGAGCUCGCGGCCUAUCAGCUUGUUGGUGGGGUAAUGGCCUACCAAGGCGUCGACGGGUAGCCGGCCUGAGAGGGUGUACGGCGACCUUGGGACUGAGAUACGGCACAGACUCCUACGGGAGGCAGAAGUGGGGAAUAUUGCACAAUGGGCGCCAGCCUGAUGAAGCGACGCCGCGUGGGGGAUGACGGCCUUCGGGUUGUAAAAUCCUUUCGCUAGGGACGAAGCGUUUUGUGACGGUACCUGGAGAAGAAGCACCGGCUAACUACGUG
Molecule: ribosomal RNA, 467 nt
Filed under: uncultured bacterium
Lineage: Bacteria
Description: partial 16S ribosomal RNA
Rfam family: Bacterial small subunit ribosomal RNA
Source: RNAcentral